This 393-nucleotide ribosomal RNA is filed under the name uncultured bacterium. RNAcentral describes it as "partial 16S ribosomal RNA". It matches the Rfam family "Bacterial small subunit ribosomal RNA", at positions 523 to 918 of the family's 1533-position model. The record is from RNAcentral.
AUACGGAGGAUCCGAGCGUUAUCCGGAUUUAUUGGGUUUAAAGGGAGCGUAGGCGGACGCUUAAGUCAGUUGUGAAAGUUUGCGGCUCAACCGUAAAAUUGCAGUUGAUACUGGGUGUCUUGAGUACAGUAGAGGCAGGCGGAAUUCGUGGUGUAGCGGUGAAAUGCUUAGAUAUCACGAAGAACUCCGAUUGCGAAGGCAGCCUGCUGGACUGUUACUGACGCUGAUGCUCGAAAGGGUGGGUAUCAAACAGGAUUAGAUACCCUGGUAGUCCACACAGUAAACGAUUAAUACUCGCUGUUUGCGAUAUACAGUAAGCGGCCAAGCGAAAGCGUUAAGUAUUCCACCUGGGGAGUACGCCGGCAACGGUGAAACUCAAAGGAAUUGACGGGG